Amaranthus tricolor (Joseph's coat) is the source of this 2113-nucleotide RNA transcript. RefSeq lists it as uncharacterized. NCBI's taxonomy places the organism in Eukaryota, Viridiplantae, Streptophyta, Magnoliopsida, Caryophyllales, Amaranthaceae. The record is from RefSeq and is a predicted model, not a curated record. The transcript has 8 exons.
CAUUGGAAGCUCAACAAAAUAACGGAGAGAUAGUUGCUGAAGGAAGAAAUGACAUUUUAGCAAAAGUUAUUACGAAAAAAGAGCAUGGUGGUUGUGUAAGAGCCGUUGGAUCAGGCAUAACAAAUAAGGAGUACUUUGGCUUCAACAAACCAGCACCACCUAAAGAAUUACACUCUGUAAUCAAUCGUAUGCACACAAAAAUGAUGGGCACGGAGAAAAAGCAGAAUUAUAUGAUGUCUUUUAUAAUGACGUGCUGUCAAUUGAAUCAGGAGCAAUUAUGUGACUUCAUGACAAAAUUUGGUAAUUGUGUUGGCCAGGGAAUGGGUGGUGGUAAGGAUUUUGGGUCUGAUUCCCAUCUUAGUGAUUCUACUACACAAAAAGAAAAAAGUGGUAAUGGUGGAAAAGGAUCAAGUUUUAUCCCAUUUGCAAGUUUAGGAGUUCAAGAUGUGCAAUCUGAACUUGUAACUAGUCGUGGUGGUGACAUUGUUGACAAUGAAGCAAGGAAAGAAUUUAUUACAAAUGAAGAGCAUGAUAAUAGUGAGGAGCAUGGAUUUGAAAAGGAACAGGUUCAUGAACCAGGUAUAAAAGAUCGUCAUACUAACAUUGAUGAUUGUGAACCAUAAUUUGUUCAAUUGCCUGAUUCCGAAGCGCAACCCAUACCUUACAAUUUUCAAACUUCUCCUUUUAUUGAGGGAUGGAAUGAUUGUUACUUGGGGCUAGAGGGAAAUGAAGGGAUAGAUAUUGUUGCCAUGGCACAGGUUUAUAUACCGAAAGCAAUAGAAAUUGUGAAGAAUCAUAGGGCCCCUAUGCCAAGUGGUCAUUAUCGAGUCAAUAUUCAAACGGAUAUCAAGCCUAGUGCACUUUUGCCAUAUCCUAAUGAGGAAAUGACACUAGUUUGUCAAGCUAAGAAAUCUUUUAUUCCUUGGUCGUGUCACUUCAUUUUCCCAUUUCCCAGUGAUGCACAGAAGCAAGAUGCAAACAAUUCCAUCUCAAAAUCUCAAAAUUCACCUUCAUCCUAUUUUCAAACUAAGGACGCAGCUGCACAGCAAGAUGAUGGAAACAAACUCAUCUCACCAUCUCUGAAAUCACCUUCAUCAAUUUCAUCAUCAAAUCAGAAGUACCAAAUCACUGAUAAAGAUCGUGCCAAGCUGACCAUAAACUUGGUAAAAAGUUUUAAAUUUGAAGCUUUAGCAAUGAGAAAAAGUGAAGAACAAAUCACUAUAGAAAUACCAGACUAUGUGUUCCGCAAUAAGCAUACUGUUGACAUUGAUUGCAUAGACAUGCUUGAUUGAUGUUAUCAACGAGAAGUAGGAGUAGGGCACCUUUCAAUUUUUAUGAAGUAUUUGAGUGAAUUUUGUCAAGAAGAAGAUAUCUCCGGAAUGUAUGGUUUUUGUGAUGCUAAUAUGUUUUCUCCAUUAUCACCAAUAGAGAUCGAAGAGGAUCGAUCUAACUACUUCGCUAGCAUUUUCGCAUGCAAUAAUGCUAAGAACAAAAACCAAUUAUUCAUGGCACCUUAUUACGAAAAUCGGCAUUGGAUGUUAGUAAUUAUUAGUCCAUGGAAGGGAUUGGUUUAUUGACUAGAUCCUGCUGGUGUGGAAAAUAAAGUGCGUGAAAAUGCUCGUAAAAUUAUUUAUGAGGGGCUUGUGAAGUUUAGCAUGGUCCAUUGAAAGGAUCUCAAAAAAGUUAAAAAGAAUCCUAAAGUUGGUUGGAACAAACUAAAAUCCUCGUCAACCUCAAGACGCCAAAUACUAUGGAUAUUAUGUAUGCCGUUAUAUGCUUGAGACUAUUGAAAGUAGGCAACAAUUGAUUUUGGAGGAGUUUUCCCCUGGUGCUCCUUCACCUUAUUCUCAAGAGAGCAUUGAUCAAGUUCGAGAUUUAUGGAUUUCUUACGUUGUCAAACAUAGGCCAAAAAAAUUGGAGAAGGAAGCAGAAGAUUUGGAUGAUGUGUUAUAAGAUCAUAUCAAUGGGAAUUAUUAAAGAUUAGAAUUCAUGAAGAAUUCUGAUGACAUUUGACUUUUGGAAUAAGAUAAUUGUAUAGUUGAAUUCUAGUCUAAUUAUAUGAUGAAAUGGUUUAUAAUUUUUGCUCUUGGUAUAGCAUGUAUGAACGUGUAUA